UUUAAUGGCUAUAUGAGGNUACUAAAAUUGGAAUGAUAGAAGAUUAGCAUAACUCCUGCACGAGCAUGACACACAAAUCUGUGAAGCAUUCCAUAUUUAA
RNAcentral lists this small nuclear RNA (100 nucleotides) under Ursus americanus (American black bear). The record is from RNAcentral. Lineage: Eukaryota; Metazoa; Chordata; Mammalia; Carnivora; Ursidae.